This 403-nucleotide ribosomal RNA is filed under the name uncultured bacterium. RNAcentral's name for it is "partial 16S ribosomal RNA". It matches the Rfam family "Bacterial small subunit ribosomal RNA", at positions 8 to 393 of the family's 1533-position model. The record is from RNAcentral.
AGAGUUUGAUCCUGGCUCAGGACGAACGCUGGCGGCGUGCUUAACACAUGCAAGUCGAACGAGACGAUUGAAAGCUUGCUUUUGAAAGUCGAGUGGCAAACGGGUGAGUAACGCGUAGACAACCUGCCGUAAAGAUGGGGACAACAGUCCGAAAGGAUUGCUAAUACCGAAUGUUGUGGAACUUCCGCAUGGGAGCUCCACUAAAGAUGGCCUCUACUUGUAAGCUAUCGCUUUACGAUGGGUCUGCGUCUGAUUAGCUAGUUGGUGGGGUAACGGCUUACCAAGGCGACGAUCAGUAGCCGGUCUGAGAGGAUGAACGGCACAUUGGAACUGANANCCGGUCCANACUCCUACGGGAGGCAGCANNGGGNAAUCUUCCNCANGGGCGCAAGCUGANNGAACA